GCGGAGACCGUGUGGAAACUCUGGUCACGCCGACUACCCCUCACAGAUGACAAUGAGAAAUUCUGGACGCAAAUAUAUAUGUUUCGAAAAACAAUGUGAAGGCCCUGGAGCACGAGUAAAAGCAGGCAGAAGCUGGAAAGGAGCCGACCCCUGAAAACAGAAACUGCAGCCAGUGAGACGCAUGUUGGUGGCAACGGACUGACAGACGCUCACAAAGGAAGCUGCGGGCUUGGCUACUCAGCACAUGGAAAAGUGUGCAGCAUCAUUAGUCACCAGGGGAAUGCAAAUUAAAACCACAGGGAGACCCCACUGCACACCCAUUCUGAAAUUCAAAGACUGACCACACGGACCAUCAGUGGGGUGUGGAGAGGGGGAACUCGUAUGCCGCCGGUGGGAAUUCAGAAAUGGCACAACCAUUGCAAAACGGAUCGCCAGUUUCUUAGGAAGGUAAAUAUACACCUGACAUUUGACCCAACAAUUCCACUCCUACGUAUUAUCCAAGAGAAACGGAAUGUGUCCACAAAGGGACCUACCUCAAAUGUUGGUAGUAGCUUUAUCCGUGUUACCAAGAAACUGGAAACAACCGGCACGUCCAUCAAGUGGAGAAUGGACACACUAAGUGCAGAAUACGACACAUGGGCUACUGGGCCACGGAAAGGGAAGGAGCGGUGAAACAGCCACGUGGAUAAACAUUGAGAUGCUCCCUCCAGACUAUGUUCCCUGCCUGUUCUGUGCCCCAUCACCGGCCCUGUUGGUCCCUGCCUUCAGAUGCCCUCUCCUGCUGGCGCCUCCUAAACUGAUGCUGCUGGCCACGAGCUCCCCUUUGAGUCGAGGCACACAGGCGGCACCUCCGCACAUCUCCUGAGAACCUUCCGGGAGCACAAAGGAAAUCCGGACUUCCCCCACGAACCGGUUCCUGACCAGCUGUUCCCACUGGCUAGGUAGGACCACCAGGGAGCCUGCCGUUCAAGCUGAGAGCCCCGAGGGCCCCCUUGGUUCUUUCCUCUACCUUCCUCCCACGUUCCACAGCAAGUCCCGCAGGUUCUGCCUGCACCAGCUACCUUGGAUCGCUCCACCUCCACCGCCCGAGUCCAAGUCACGACUGUGUCGCACGCACAACGACCGGAGUGGCCUCCUAAGGGCAUUAAUUAGCUCACACCACUUACCGGCUUACAAUCCCCACCGGUCCCUCCCCUCUCUUGGAAGGACAUCCCAUCUCCUCCUUGCCCGGCCCGUGCCGCCCGCUGACCUCAUCCCCCGAGCGCCCCGGCCCGGCCUUUCCGCUCUGAGUCCCCGUCCCGGGCCGUGCUGGCGCUUCCUGCCCGGCUUGGUCAUCCCUGCAGGCGAGGGCUCCCCUCCAGCUCGAGCCGGGGCGGCCGGGGAGCUGGGCUACGGGGUCCGAAGCCCGGCCCGCCGUCUCACGCCCCAUCCUCGCUCUCACGACCUGCCCUUUUCUCUGACGCCCCCGCGGAGGAUCUAGAGCCGCGACCCCCGCCCCGGCCCGCCGCGCGCCCGGAAGUCGCGGUCCCCGGCCGCGCAUGCUCGCUCCCUCCUCCCCCCGCGCUCUCGCGUCACGUGGGAGGGCGCGCGAGCGGCCCGGGAAGUCCCGUCCGGAAACGCGAGCCGUGGGGCCGCGGGCUCCGCCCCCCGGCGCUGGGGGUUGGAUCACGUGUCGCCUCU
Long non-coding RNA from Equus caballus (horse), 1680 nucleotides. The record is from Ensembl. NCBI's taxonomy places the organism in Eukaryota, Metazoa, Chordata, Mammalia, Perissodactyla, Equidae.